AUGGCCUCAAUCAGUGCUGUUUUUUUGAUGCAUAUGGAAGGCACCAGACAGAAUUGGCAUAUCCAAAGGAAAAAGAAGAAAUGUAACACAUACUUGGUUGCUGACCUCAAAAUUCUAAGUGUUGGAUGUUGCUGUGAAGAGGACUUUAAAAAACAAACGAGAGAGCAGGAGAGCACAAGCAGUGGGAGUGGCAAAGAGAGAGGGAGAAGGCUGCCCACCAAGCGGGGAGCCUGAUGCAGGGUUCAAUCCCAGGAUCCAUGGAUCAUGACCCCAGCCAAAGGCAGACUGACUGAGCCACACAGGUACCCCCAAAAUCACAUUUUUAUCAAAUUAACAUGAACUGAAAUCUGAAAGUGAAAAAUAAAUGACAAAGAGGGAAUCUCGGGGGGAGGGGUGUUAUGUAUUGUACUUUUGUCUUUUGCUUUUAAAGCAAAGAUUUCAGGUCUCUGUCUAGAAAGGUUAUCCUCCCCUUCCUCUCCCAUCUUCUUCACCAGACAAAUGGAACUCAUCCUUAAGUUCUUAGCUCAAAAGUCACUUCCUCAGCAAGAUCUUCCUUGGCUAUUCCCUAAACUGAAUUAGACAUUCUAUUGCUCUCUCUUUCCCAUUUAUUUAUUUAUUUGUUUGUUUGUUUAUUUAUAUCAAAGAGCCAAUCACAGUUUCUAACUGUGCCCUUGUUUCUAUGUCCAUCAGCCUAGUCUCUGUCUGUUCUACUAGAUUAUAAGUUCCAGGAGGGCAGGAACCACCUCUGUCUUGUUACCGCCUGACCCCUCAGCAUCUAGAGCCUGGUACCUAGUAGGCAGGCCUUUCAUAAAUGUGUUGGAUGACUGAAUCAGUGAAGACAGCCGCCUUAACAAAAAUAAAUAAAUAAAUGAAAUAAAACUUAAA
RNAcentral lists this long non-coding RNA (885 nucleotides) under Mustela putorius furo (domestic ferret). RNAcentral's name for it is "lncRNA (ENSMPUG00000025981.1)". The record is from RNAcentral. Lineage: Eukaryota; Metazoa; Chordata; Mammalia; Carnivora; Mustelidae.